Molecule: ribosomal RNA, 245 nt
Filed under: uncultured bacterium
Lineage: Bacteria
Description: partial 16S ribosomal RNA
Rfam family: Bacterial small subunit ribosomal RNA
Source: RNAcentral
UACAGAGGUCUCGAGCGUUGUUCGGAUUCAUUGGGCGUAAAGGGCGCGUAGGCGGCGGGGUAAGUCUGGUGUGAAAUCUCGGAGCUCAACUCCGAAAUUGCACUGGAUACUGCUCUGCUAGAGGGCUGGAGAGGAGAUCGGAAUUCACGGUGUAGCAGUGAAAUGCGUAGAUAUCGUGAGGAAGACCAGUGGCGAAGGCGGAUCUCUGGACAGCUCCUGACGCUGAGGCGCGAAGGCUAGGGGAG